RNAcentral lists this ribosomal RNA (655 nucleotides) under uncultured bacterium. RNAcentral's name for it is "bacterial SSU rRNA". It matches the Rfam family "Bacterial small subunit ribosomal RNA", at positions 188 to 845 of the family's 1533-position model. The record is from RNAcentral.
GCAUCUCUCCGGGUUGAAAACUCCGGUGGUUAUAGGUGGACAUGCGUUGUAUUAGCUAGUUGGUGAGGUAACGGCUCACCAAGGCAACGAUACAUAGGGGGACUGAGAGGUUAACCCCCCACACUGGUACUGAGACACGGACCAGACUCCUACGGGAGGCAGCAGUGAGGAAUAUUGGUCAAUGGACGCAAGUCUGAACCAGCCAUGCCGCGUGCAGGAAGACGGCUCUAUGAGUUGUAAACUGCUUUUGUACGAGGGUAGACUCACCUACGAGUAGGUGACUGAAAGUAUCGUACGAAUAAGGAUCGGCUAACUCCGUGCCAGCAGCCGCGGUAAUACGGAGGAUUCAAGCGUUAUCCGGAUUUAUUGGGUUUAAAGGGUGCGUAGGCGGUUUGAUAAGUUAGAGGUGAAAUCCCGGGGCUUAACUCCGGAACUGCCUCUAAUACUGUUAGACUAGAGAGUAGUUGCGGUAGGCGGAAUGUAUGGUGUAGCGGUGAAAUGCUUAGAGAUCAUACAGAACACCGAUUGCGAAGGCAGCUUACCAAACUAUAUCUGACGUUGAGGCACGAAAGCGUGGGGAGCAAACAGGAUUAGAUACCCUGGUAGUCCACGCAGUAAACGAUGAUAACUCGUUGUCGGCGAUACACAGUCGGUG